UACGGGGGGGGCAAGCGUUGUUCGGAAUUACUGGGCGUAAAGGGCUCGUAGGCGGCCAACUAAGUCAGACGUGAAAUCCCUCGGCUUAACCGGGGAACUGCGUCUGAUACUGGAUGGCUUGAAUUCGGGAGAGGGAUGCAGAAUUCCAGGUGUAGCGGUGAAAUGCGUAGAUAUCUGGAGGAAUACCGGUGGCGAAGGCGGCAUCCUGGACCGACAUUGACGCUGAAAGCCGAAAGCUAGGGGAGCAAACGGG
This 253-nucleotide ribosomal RNA is filed under the name uncultured bacterium. RNAcentral's name for it is "partial 16S ribosomal RNA". It matches the Rfam family "Bacterial small subunit ribosomal RNA", at positions 524 to 776 of the family's 1533-position model. The record is from RNAcentral.